RNAcentral lists this small RNA (737 nucleotides) under Pan troglodytes (chimpanzee). RNAcentral's name for it is "processed transcript". Lineage: Eukaryota; Metazoa; Chordata; Mammalia; Primates; Hominidae. The record is from RNAcentral.
GUAGAAUUGGGCUGAAGAGGUUUCCUAGGCAGCCUCGCAGGCUGCACAGCACACCACCCCCGAGGUGCCCACGUGCAGCCCCGUGAUUUGUUCUCCACUGACAGAAUCUAUACCGGCCACUGGGACACGUUGUGCUUUAACAAGAUCGAAAUUGAUUGCUGCCAGCGUGUCCAUGUUGGCUGCUUCUUUUGGAGGGAGCCAGUGGGGGACGGGAGUCUCAGCAGGCUGGGAAGACCGUGAUGAUAAUCGUAGCAAUCAGCCCCAAAUACAAACAGGAUGUGGAAGGCGCUGAGUCGCAGCUGGACGAGGAUGAGCAUGGCUUACAUACUAAGUACAUUCAUCGAAUGAUGCAGAUUGAGUUCAUAAAACAAGGAAGCAUGAAUUUCAGAUUCAUCCCUGUGCUCUUCCCAAAUGCUAAGAAGGAGCAUGUGCCCACCUGGCUUCAGAACACUCAUGUCUACAGCUGGCCCAAGAAUAAAAAAAACAUCCUGCUGCGGCUGCUGAGAGAGGAAGAGUAUGUGGCUCCUCCACGGGGGCCUCUGCCCACCCUUCAGGUGGUUCCCUUGUGACACCGUUCAUCCCCAGAUCACUGAGGCCAGGCCAUGUUUGGGGCCCUGUUCUGACAGCAUUCUAGCUGAGGCUGGUCGGUAGCACUCCUGGCUGGUUUUUUUCUGUUCCUCCCCGAGAGGCCCUCUGGCCCCCAGGAAACCUGUUGUGCAGAGCUCUUCCCCAGAGAC